GAUGAACGCUAGCUACAGGCUUAACACAUGCAAGUCGCGGGGCAGCAUGUCGGUUGCUUGCAACCGAUGAUGGCGACCGGCGCACGGGUGAGUAACGCGUAUCCAACCUGCCCUUCACCACGGAAUAAUCCAGUGAAAAUUGGUCUAAUACCGUAUGAGGUCAUACGAUGGCAUCAGAAUAUGACGAAAGGUUUGGCGGGGAAGGAUGGGGAUGCGUCUGAUUAGCUUGUUGGUGAGGUAACGGCUCACCAAGGCGACGAUCAGUAGGGGUCCUGAGAGGAAGGUCCCCCACAUUGGAACUGAGACACGGUCCAAACUCCUACGGGAGGCAGCAGUGAGGAAUAUUGGUCAAUGGGCGAGAGCCUGAACCAGCCAAGUAGCGUGCAGGAAGACGGCCCUAUGGGUUGUAAACUGCUUUUAUAUGGGGAUAAAGUGAGCUACGUGUAGUUUAUUGCAGGUACCAUAUGAAUAAGGACCGGCUAAUUCCGUGCCAGCCGCCGCAGUAA
RNAcentral lists this ribosomal RNA (506 nucleotides) under uncultured bacterium. RNAcentral describes it as "partial 16S ribosomal RNA". It matches the Rfam family "Bacterial small subunit ribosomal RNA", at positions 28 to 523 of the family's 1533-position model. The record is from RNAcentral.